UCUGUUUCAUCCGUAUAGGAAUCAUCAGGUGGUCUGAUGAUUGGUGGACCACCUGAUGAUUCCUAUACGGAUGAAACAGA
Paramuricea clavata is the source of this 80-nucleotide non-coding RNA. NCBI's taxonomy places the organism in Eukaryota, Metazoa, Cnidaria, Anthozoa, Malacalcyonacea, Plexauridae. The record is from the annotation of a GenBank genome assembly.